RNAcentral lists this ribosomal RNA (406 nucleotides) under uncultured bacterium. RNAcentral describes it as "bacterial SSU rRNA". It matches the Rfam family "Bacterial small subunit ribosomal RNA", at positions 355 to 776 of the family's 1533-position model. The record is from RNAcentral.
UAGGGAAUUUUCCACAAUGGGCGAAAGCCUGAUGGAGCAACGCCGCGUGCAGGAUGAAGGCCUUCGGGUUGUAAACUGCUUUUAUCUGUGAAGAUUUUGACGGUAGCAGAUGAAUAAGGAUCGGCUAACUCCGUGCCAGCAGCCGCGGUCAUACGGAGGAUCCAAGCGUUAUCCGGAAUUACUGGGCGUAAAGAGUUGCGUAGGUGGUUUGUCAAGCAGGGCAUGAAAGCGUGUGGCUCAACCAUACAGCUAUGUUCUGAACUGACAGGACUAGAGAGCGAGAGAGGUAGAUGGAAUUCCCAGUGUAGGAGUGAAAUCCGUAGAUAUUGGGAGGAACACCGAUGGCGUAGGCAGUCUACUGGCUUGUCUCUGACACUAAGGCACGAAAGCGUGGGGAGCGAACUGG